RNAcentral lists this long non-coding RNA (1758 nucleotides) under Nicotiana benthamiana. RNAcentral's name for it is "long non-coding RNA (NBEN_LNC011551)". The record is from RNAcentral. Lineage: Eukaryota; Viridiplantae; Streptophyta; Magnoliopsida; Solanales; Solanaceae.
GCUCUUGGACUUCAAAAUUUGGCUCUCUUAACUUGGGCUCCAGGGAUCGCUUAGAAUGAACCGCGACCGCGGAGGAAAGUAGCGCGGUUCGCAUAAACAUGAAGGCGGAUCACAUGGCUUGAAGUUGGGCAGAUUACACCUCUCUAAACUUCUCCACCGUGGAGCGCACACAAAGGUAGUGCGGCCACGGAGCCUUCACCGUGGACUGCACACUUCGUAUUGCGACCGUGAUUCCUUAAUCAUCAUUUUUCCAACUAUCUAAACCCCUAGUGUGGACCGCACAAAAUCGAAUGCGGCCGCACUAGGCUUGCUUGCCUUCAGUUUGCCUUGUCUUUGAUACUUGAGUAGGUUUCACUCCUUUUGAGCCGAUCUUUGAUAUUUCGUCACUUUAUCGAUUAAACCUGCAAUCAAGCACACUUAUGAGCCUUUUUUGGACUAUUUUGUAACCAUUUAUAACCAAAGCAUAAGCAAGAAGGAUCCUAAAACACAACAACAUAACUAGUUAUAAGUUGUGCAGAUGGGGUAGCAGCUAGAGAUGUGAUCAUGGCCUGAGAACUCUACGGGGCACGCUAUGGCUGAGAAGUCUAUGAAGGUGUACCCUCCCAAGUCUUGGGCAAUCCCUAAACAUAUGGUGUGUUUCACCACACUGAAAGCAAGCUUUGGGAGGGCGUAGUGGUUGUGAGUGGCUCUGGCCAGGUCUACUGGACUAUUCUCUAAAAGCACCCCGCACAGGAGGCGCGCUAGAAAUCGGAGGUGCAUAAUAAGGCUCAUGAGAUAUGGGAGGAGAUGGAGCACUGCUGGCUGCUGGAAGAGCUGAAUGAACAGAGCAGCUGACAUAACCCUUACCAUGAGGACAUGCAGCUGGAGUACGGGCACCCGAGAAAUGUCCCAACUCUCGAGGCCUCUUGGCCUUCCUUUCCUCUCUCUCCCUAGCAUGCAUGCCUUCAUUCUUCUAAGAAAUGUGCACCACCUACUGAUAAAAAAUAUCCAUCUCCAACUCAUGAGCCAUGCUAGAUCUUAUGGGGGGAAUAAGCCCCUCAAUUAUCGACGAACUCUCUCGCGGACAGUAGAAACCAAGGCUGGUGCAUGCCUAGCCAAUCUAGUGCAGCGGAUAGCAUAGUCCGAAACAGUCAUAGCACCCUGGUGCAAAUGGUCAAACUCUAUGCCAUGCGUCCCUGAGGCUCUAAGGAACAAACUCUCUCAGGAACAUAUCCGAGAACUGGGUCCAAGUUAGUGAAACAAGCUCACCUGGACUGUCUAACUCAUAGGUGUGCCACAAAUCAUAGACGGCUCCCCGUCGCUAGAAAGUAGUGAAGGAAAACCCGCUCAAUCCUGAUAUAACAAUAGUGCAAAGAAUACAGUGUCACUUCAAUUGAAAUCCCAAGGCAUUAUAUGAUGCUGAAAAUCGGAGGAUCAUACUUUUUGAACAUCUCAAGUUUUCGCUGCUCAUCCUCUGAAGCAGAUGCCCCAUCCUCGAGCUCAACAUGCACUGCAGGUGGUACAUGAAUGAUCUCUAGGACCUUCUCAACAUGCACUUACUGCUCAAGAGUGGGUGGUGGGAUUCUGUGCUCCUCCCCCGCCUGGAAUGUGGCUGCUGCAAGGGGAAGCAACCUUGCCUGAGCCAACGUGGUGUACAUGCUCAUGAACUAUGCCAAAGUCUCCUAAACAGCUAGACUAGUAGUAGCAGUAGGCGUGUCUGGUGCAUGAACUUCGGCUGGAUGGUACAUCAGCAGCAACUCGCAUAAGUGCUCUAGCUUU